RNAcentral lists this ribosomal RNA (1347 nucleotides) under Agrocybe smithii. RNAcentral's name for it is "partial large subunit ribosomal RNA". It matches the Rfam family "Eukaryotic large subunit ribosomal RNA", at positions 74 to 1409 of the family's 3401-position model. Lineage: Eukaryota; Fungi; Basidiomycota; Agaricomycetes; Agaricales; Agrocybaceae. The record is from RNAcentral.
AUUCCCCUAGUAACUGCGAGUGAAGCGGGAAAAGCUCAAAUUUAAACUCUGGCGGUCUCUGGCCGUCCGAGUUGUAAUCUAGAGAAGUGUUAUCCGCGCUGGACCGUGUACAAGUCUCCUGGAAUGGAGCGUCAUAGAGGGUGAGAAUCCCGUCUUUGACACGGACUGCCAGGGCUUUGUGAUGCGCUCUCAAAGAGUCGAGUUGUUUGGGAAUGCAGCUCCAAAUGGGUGGUAAAUUCCAUCUAAAGCUAAAUAUUGGCGAGAGACCGAUAGCGAACAAGUACCGUGAGGGAAAGAUGAAAAGAACUUUGGAAAGAGAGUUAAACAGUACGUGAAAUUGCUGAAAGGGAAACGCUUGAAGUCAGUCGCGUUGGCCGGGAAUCAACCUUGCUUUUGCUGGGCGUACUUUCCGGUCGACGGGUCAGCAUCAAUUUUGACCGUUGGAUAAAGUCUAGAGGAAUGUGGCAUCUUCGGGUGUGUUAUAGCCUCUGGUCGCAUACAACGGUUGGGAUUGAGGAACUCAGCACGCCGCAAGGCCGGGUACUCGUACCACGUUCGUGCUUAGGAUGCUGGCAUAAUGGCUUUAAUCGACCCGUCUUGAAACACGGACCAAGGAGUCUAACAUGCCUGCGAGUGUUUGGGUGGAAAACCCGAGCGCGUAAUGAAAGUGAAAGUUGAGAUCCCUGUCGCGGGGAGCAUCGACGCCCGGACCAGACCUUUUGUGACGGUCCCGCGGUAGAGCAUGUAUGUUGGGACCCGAAAGAUGGUGAACUAUGCCUGAAUAGGGUGAAGCCAGAGGAAACUCUGGUGGAGGCUCGUAGCGAUUCUGACGUGCAAAUCGAUCGUCAAAUUUGGGUAUAGGGGCGAAAGACUAAUCGAACCAUCUAGUAGCUGGUUCCUGCUGAAGUUUCCCUCAGGAUAGCAGAAACUCAUUUCAGAUUUAUGUGGUAAAGCGAAUGAUUAGAGGCCUUGGGGUUGAAACAACCUUAACCUAUUCUCAAACUUUAAAUAUGUAAGAACGAGCCGUCUCUUGAUUGGACCGCUCGGCGAUUGAGAGUUUCUAGUGGGCCAUUUUUGGUAAGCAGAACUGGCGAUGCGGGAUGAACCGAACGCGAGGUUAAGGUGCCGGAAUUCACGCUCAUCAGACACCACAAAAGGUGUUAGUUCAUCUAGACAGCAGGACGGUGGCCAUGGAAGUCGGAACCCGCUAAGGAGUGUGUAACAACUCACCUGCCGAAUGAACUAGCCCUGAAAAUGGAUGGCGCUUAAGCGUGAUACCCAUACCUCGCCGUCAGCGUUGAAGUGACGCGCUGACGAGUAGGCAGGCGUGGAGGUCAGUGAAGAAGC